This 253-nucleotide ribosomal RNA is filed under the name uncultured bacterium. RNAcentral describes it as "partial 16S ribosomal RNA". It matches the Rfam family "Bacterial small subunit ribosomal RNA", at positions 524 to 776 of the family's 1533-position model. The record is from RNAcentral.
UACGGGGGGAGCAAGCGUUGUUCGGAUUUACUGGGCGUAAAGGGCGCGUAGGCGGCGCAACAAGUCACUUGUGAAAUCUCCGGGCUUAACCCGGAGCGGUCAAGUGAUACUGUCGUGCUAGAGUGCGGAAGGGGCUACUGGAAUUCUCGGUGUAGCGGUGAAAUGCGUAGAUAUCGGGAGGAACACCUGCGGCGAAGGCGGGUAGCUGGGCCGACACUGACGCUGAUGCGCGAAAGCCAGGGGAGCGAACGGG